UCCCUGGUGGCUCAGACGGUAAAGCAUCUGCCUACAAUGCAGGAGACCCAGAUUCAAUCCCUGGGUUGGGAA
This 72-nucleotide transfer RNA is filed under the name Bos taurus (domestic cattle). It matches the Rfam family "tRNA". Rfam says of the family: Transfer RNA (tRNA) molecules are approximately 80 nucleotides in length. Their secondary structure includes four short double-helical elements and three loops (D, anti-codon, and T loops). The record is from Rfam by way of RNAcentral. Lineage: Eukaryota; Metazoa; Chordata; Mammalia; Artiodactyla; Bovidae. RNAcentral also lists the same sequence under 4 other names.